GUGCUCGCUUCAGCAGCACCUAGGCUAAAAUUGGAAUGGUGCAAAAAAGAUUAGCAUGGCCCCGGCGCAAGGAUGACAUGCAAAUUCGUGAAGUGUUCCAUAUUUUG
Molecule: small nuclear RNA, 107 nt
Organism: Equus asinus (donkey)
Lineage: Eukaryota; Metazoa; Chordata; Mammalia; Perissodactyla; Equidae
Source: Ensembl